Molecule: ribosomal RNA, 433 nt
Filed under: uncultured bacterium
Lineage: Bacteria
Description: partial 16S ribosomal RNA
Rfam family: Bacterial small subunit ribosomal RNA
Source: RNAcentral
AGCGAACGCUGGCGGCAGGCCUAACACAUGCAAGUCGAACGAACUCUUCGGAGUUAGUGGCGGACGGGUGAGUAACACGUGGGAACGUGCCUUUUGGUUCGGAAUAACUCAGGGAAACUUGUGCUAAUACCGAAUGUGCCCUUCGGGGGAAAGAUUUAUCGCCAUUAGAGCGGCCCGCGUCUGAUUAGCUAGUUGGUGAGGUAACGGCUCACCAAGGCGACGAUCAGUAGCUGGUCUGUGAGGAUGACCAGCCACACUGGGACUGAGACACGGCCCAGACUCCUACGGGAGGCAGCAGUGGGGAAUCUUGCGCAAUGGGCGAAAGCCUGACGCAGCCAUGCCGCGUGAAUGAUGAAGGUCUUAGGAUUGUAAAAUUCUUUCACCGGGGACGAUAAUGACGGUACCCGGAGAAGAAGCCCCGGCUAACUUCGUG